UACGUAGGGGGCGAGCGUUGUCCGAAGUUACUGGGCGUAAAGCGCGCGUAGGCGGGGGAUUAAGUGAGAGGUGAAAGGCUGGGGCUCAACCUCAUGCAGUGCCUCUCAUACUGGUUCUCUUGAGGGCGGUAGGGAGAAGUGGAAUGGCUGGUGUAGCGGUGAAAUGCGUAGAUAUCAGUCGGAACACCGAUGGCGAAGGCAGCCAUCUGGACCGACACUGACGCUGAGGCGCGAAAGCGUGGGGAGCAAACAGG
This 254-nucleotide ribosomal RNA is filed under the name uncultured bacterium. RNAcentral's name for it is "partial 16S ribosomal RNA". It matches the Rfam family "Bacterial small subunit ribosomal RNA", at positions 524 to 776 of the family's 1533-position model. The record is from RNAcentral.